AAAAAACCACUGCCACUUUUCACAGGUCACCCUUCUUCCACCACAUCAUCACAUUCACACGCGAGUUGAACACAACGCCAAGUUGAGCAGCGCAACCACACACACACACCGUCUCGCACGGCCGGCUGAGGCGCGUCGAGGGGCAAGGCAAACCCAUGCCGCCGCCGGAGGAGGAGAGGCCGCCGCUGCCGCGGCCGAAGCCGAAGCCAAAGCCGCCCAAGCCCGAGCCCAAGACGGGGCCGGAGCCGAAUCCGAAGCCGAAGCCGC
RNAcentral lists this long non-coding RNA (267 nucleotides) under Setaria italica (foxtail millet). Its description in RNAcentral is "long non-coding RNA (SITA_LNC006159)". The record is from RNAcentral. Lineage: Eukaryota; Viridiplantae; Streptophyta; Magnoliopsida; Poales; Poaceae.